AGUGAACGCUGGCGGUAUGCCUAACACAUGCAAGUCGAACGGCAGCACAGUAAGAGCUUGCUCUUACGGGUGGCGAGUGGCGGACGGGUGAGGUAUACAUCGGAAUCUACUUUUUCGUGGGGGCUAACGUAGGGAAACUUACGCUAAUACCGCAUACGACCUACGGGUGAAAGCAGGGGAUCUUCGGACCUUGCGCGAUUGAAUGAGCCGAUGUCGGAUUAGCUAGUUGGCGGGGUAAAGGCCCACCAAGGCGACGAUCCGUAGCUGGUCUGAGAGGAUGAUCAGCCAGACUGGAACUGAGACACGGUCGAGACUCCUACGGGAGGCAGCAGUGGGGAAUAUUGGACAAUGGGGGCGAGCCUGAUCCAGCAAUACCGCGUGGGUGAAGAAGGCCUUCGGGUUGUAGAGCCCUUUUGUUGGGAGAGAAAAGCAGCAGGUUAAUACGCCGCUGUUAUGACGGUACCCAAAGAAUAAGCACCGGCUAACUUCGUG
Molecule: ribosomal RNA, 492 nt
Filed under: uncultured bacterium
Lineage: Bacteria
Description: partial 16S ribosomal RNA
Rfam family: Bacterial small subunit ribosomal RNA
Source: RNAcentral